RNAcentral lists this ribosomal RNA (403 nucleotides) under Fusobacteriota bacterium. RNAcentral describes it as "Fusobacteria bacterium partial 16S ribosomal RNA". It matches the Rfam family "Bacterial small subunit ribosomal RNA", at positions 355 to 776 of the family's 1533-position model. The record is from RNAcentral. Lineage: Bacteria; Fusobacteriati; Fusobacteriota.
UGGGGAAUCUUGCACAAUGGGGGCAACCCUGAUGCAGCGACGCCGCGUGAGCGAUGAAGGUUUUCGAAUCGUAAAGCUCUGUCCUAUGGGAAGAUAAUGACGGUACCAUAGGAGGAAGCCCCGGCUAACUACGUGCCAGCAGCCGCGGUAAUACGUAGGGGGCGAGCGUUGUCCGGAAUUACUGGGCGUAAAGGGUUCGCAGGCGGCAUGGCAAGUCCGAUGUAAAAGGCAAAGGCUCAACCUUCGUAAGCAUCGGAAACUGUCAAGCUUGAGUGAAGGAGAGGCAAGUGGAAUUCCUAGUGUAGCGGUGGAAUGCGUAGAUAUUAGGAGGAAUACCGGUGGCGAAGGCGACUUGCUGGACUUCAACUGACGCUGAGGAACGAAAGCGUGGGUAGCAAACAGG